This 253-nucleotide ribosomal RNA is filed under the name uncultured bacterium. RNAcentral describes it as "partial 16S ribosomal RNA". It matches the Rfam family "Bacterial small subunit ribosomal RNA", at positions 524 to 776 of the family's 1533-position model. The record is from RNAcentral.
UACGGAGGGGGCUAGCGUUGUUCGGAAUUACUGGGCGUAAAGCGCGCGUCGGCGGCCCUGCAAGUCGGGGGUGAAAGCCCGAGGCUCAACCUCGGAACUGCCUUCGAUACUGCGGGUCUCGAGUCCGGGAGAGGUGAGUGGAAUUCCUAGUGUAGAGGUGAAAUUCGUAGAUAUUAGGAAGAACACCAGUGGCGAAGGCGGCUCACUGGCCCGGUACUGACGCUGAGGCGCGAAAGCGUGGGGAGCAAACAGG